RNAcentral lists this transfer RNA (71 nucleotides) under Marmota monax (woodchuck). RNAcentral describes it as "tRNA.Ser". It matches the Rfam family "tRNA". From Rfam's summary of the family: Transfer RNA (tRNA) molecules are approximately 80 nucleotides in length. Lineage: Eukaryota; Metazoa; Chordata; Mammalia; Rodentia; Sciuridae. The record is from RNAcentral.
GGGGUUGUGGCUCAGCGGUAGAGCAUUCACCUCGAAUGUGUGAUGCCCUGGGUUCGAUCUUCAGCACCACA